RNAcentral lists this microRNA precursor (86 nucleotides) under Brachypodium distachyon (stiff brome). RNAcentral's name for it is "mir-395 microRNA precursor family". It matches the Rfam family "mir-395 microRNA precursor family". From Rfam's summary of the family: mir-395 was identified in both Arabidopsis thaliana and Oryza sativa computationally and was later experimentally verified. mir-395 is thought to target mRNAs coding for ATP sulphurylases. The mature sequence is excised from the 3' arm of the hairpin. Lineage: Eukaryota; Viridiplantae; Streptophyta; Magnoliopsida; Poales; Poaceae. The record is from Rfam by way of RNAcentral.
GUAUUACCAUGAGUUCCCUGCAAGCACUUCACGAGGCCCAAUUAUGAUGGCUACUGUGAAGUGUUUGGGGGAACUCUUGGUGUCAC